This is a small nuclear RNA of Harmonia axyridis, 127 nucleotides long. RefSeq annotates it as U11 spliceosomal RNA. NCBI's taxonomy places the organism in Eukaryota, Metazoa, Arthropoda, Insecta, Coleoptera, Coccinellidae. The transcript has a single exon. The record is from RefSeq and is a predicted model, not a curated record.
UAAAAGGGUGCUUACUCUUUGAUAGUACGCGGGUGUUUCACCUUGCGGGGUAUGGAAAUCAAGACAUACCCAGCACACAAUUUUUGUACGCGUGGGGCAGUUUCUUGCGACAUGCUGAGACGCCCCC